AAAACUCUUCUUUUAUUGGGUGGCCUCAUUAAAAACCCUCCUUAGGGAAAAAAGAGUGCCCCCUUCAAACUGUUUUAUCAGAGACAUUGUAAUAUAACUUUGUGUUUGUCUUUACUUACAAAGCUCUUAACUAUAGUACAACUUCAGGUGUGUGGCGUUCCAGGUGCGAGGAAUCGCCCCUCCUUCCAGCGUCUCUAAGCGGUAGGCGCCGUUCCCGAGCGCCUCGGUUAUUCUGAACGGUCCAGUCCACUUGGGUGACAGUUUAUUCUCCAUCUCGUACUGGUGGGCCUUCCUCAUCACCA
This 302-nucleotide long non-coding RNA is filed under the name Phaseolus vulgaris (common bean). RNAcentral's name for it is "long non-coding RNA (PVUL_LNC005072)". The record is from RNAcentral. Lineage: Eukaryota; Viridiplantae; Streptophyta; Magnoliopsida; Fabales; Fabaceae.